GGAAAAUCACACGCUAGCAAACAAAUUUAAAAUUUGGACAUUAGUGAUCAAAAUGAUAAGCUCAGAGAGUUAACGGAAAAAAAUAAGCAAAAAGAUGAACAAAUCACAUCACUUAAAGAACAAAUUAAGGCACUGGCUCAAAAAGUAUCCAACUUACAAUUAGAAAACCCUGUUUUGAGCCUUAACAAUGAAGAGUUUUAAGUGAUUCAUUGGGUUUAACAAAUUGGAUUUUAUUAUUGACCAAUUAAGUUUGUUAAAAUUAGGCAAUAAUGAGAAA
Long non-coding RNA from Adelges cooleyi (spruce gall adelgid), 277 nucleotides. RefSeq lists it as uncharacterized. Lineage: Eukaryota; Metazoa; Arthropoda; Insecta; Hemiptera; Adelgidae. The transcript is spliced from 3 exons. The record is from RefSeq and is a predicted model, not a curated record.